Molecule: small nuclear RNA, 18 nt
Filed under: Arabidopsis thaliana (thale cress)
Lineage: Eukaryota; Viridiplantae; Streptophyta; Magnoliopsida; Brassicales; Brassicaceae
Description: snRNA_04916
Source: RNAcentral
AGUCUAGAUUUAAUCAGG